UACAGAGGUCUCAAGCGUUGUUCGGAUUCAUUGGGCGUAAAGGGUGCGUAGGUGGCGAGGUAAGUUGGAUGUGAAAUCCCGGGGCUCAACCCCGGAACUGCAUUCAAUACUGCUUUGCUAGAGUACUGGAGAGGAGAUUGGAAUUUACGGUGUAGCAGUGAAAUGCGUAGAUAUCGUAAGGAAGACCAGUGGCGAAGGCGGAUCUCUGGACAGUUACUGACACUGAGGCACGAAGGCCAGGGGAGCAAACGGG
RNAcentral lists this ribosomal RNA (253 nucleotides) under uncultured bacterium. RNAcentral describes it as "partial 16S ribosomal RNA". It matches the Rfam family "Bacterial small subunit ribosomal RNA", at positions 524 to 776 of the family's 1533-position model. The record is from RNAcentral.